UACAAACCUCCGCCUCGUCCGCCCUGCCGGUGGCGGCCGACGGCCCCUGCCUUCCGGCCUCUGAGAGCAGCUGCGCCGGCAGUGGCCAGAUCCAGCCUGCCGAUGGCCCUUACUUAGGGUUGGUCAUAAUAGAGACGCGCACUGGAUAUUUCCCAGGCGCCCUGGGGCGACGUACAACGGAGCUCCCACAGUCCUCUUCGCCUCCGCUCGGUCCACCCCCAAACUCCGGUAUUAACCCCUUCACGUCCAUGUUCAUUGGCCCAUCGACGCCCCCUGGCACGCAGAUUGCUUCGUGAGAUCCCGGACACCUAAUUGGUAAAAUACAUAAAAGACCGGGCCUGUCCCUUAGUUAUAGUUAUCGAAGAUUUUCUCAACUUGCUUCUAAGACCUUCUCGCUGAUAAAUAAUAAACGACAAUCAUGGUUAACGUUUGAGCGUCUGUGGACCAGCAACUAAGAAAAUUCAGGCCAGGAGCUUUCCUGGUGACGCAGUGGUUAAGAAUCCACCUGCCAAUGCAGGGGACACGGUUUCGAGCCCUGGUCCGGGAAGAUCCCACAUGCUGUGGAGUAACUAAGCCCGUGCGCCACAACUACUGAGCCUGUGUGCCACAAUUACUGAAGCCCGUGCACCUAGAGCCCAUGCUCCACAAUAAGAGAAGCCACUGCAAUGAGAAGCCUGUGCACUGCAAUGAAGAGUAGCCCCCGCUCGCUGCAGCUAAAGAAAGCCCACGUGCAGCAACAAGGACUCAACACAGCCAAAAAUAAAUAAAUUAAUAAAUU
Molecule: long non-coding RNA, 778 nt
Organism: Balaenoptera ricei (Rice's whale)
Lineage: Eukaryota; Metazoa; Chordata; Mammalia; Artiodactyla; Balaenopteridae
Exons: 3
Source: RefSeq, a predicted model, not a curated record